Molecule: long non-coding RNA, 1206 nt
Organism: Hipposideros armiger (great roundleaf bat)
Lineage: Eukaryota; Metazoa; Chordata; Mammalia; Chiroptera; Hipposideridae
Exons: 5
Source: RefSeq, a predicted model, not a curated record
AUCCAUGUCAGUAUGAAAAUUCCUUUAUUUGCCUACUAUGUACAGACAUCAGGAGACCAAGGUGAUGAGAUGCUUUAAGUUGAGUGGAAUAUUUCCUGUACAAUCUGUAAAAGUCUACCCCUUUGGGACAAGAACCUCUACACUUAUGGAGCCAAGAUGCAUGAGGAGAGGAAGCAUAAAUCCCCAACUGGAUCACUGGAAUGCAGGUGAAGAUACAGGGAGAAGAUGGCAGUUCGCAGCCCAGAAGAGGACCUUCAUCAGAACCUGACCGUGCUGGUAACCUGAGCUCCGACUUCCAUCCUCCAAAACUCUUGUCCUGAGAGUGGAAGAACAUUCCAUUGACUGGGUUUAUGAUGCUCUGCCUCACUCCCUCUGCCCUGAAGUGAAGUUGAAUUAUAAAAUAAGGCCAGCCUUAUCUUGGGCAGCCAUGCAACAAUGGUAUCUGGAGGAAAUGGACAGAACCAACCUCACCUAUGUUUGACUCCCAGUCCAGCUCGUGUUCCUCACCGUGACACUAUCCUGACAACCAACAAUUCUUGAGUAAAGAGAGAUAUGGAUUCACCAGCGUGAUGCUGUAAAAUGAGAAUACUAUAUAUUUCAACCCUGAUCUGUUUGAGGAAGAACAGGCCUCAGAAGCAAACUGGACAUGUGGAGUGAGCAGAUGGAGACUUCAGCCUGCACCUAAUUCCUGUUGCUCAACUACCCUGAAGUCAAUGGAAUCCCAGCUGUCAAAGAAUUGCAGCGCUAUUUAGGGAAAAAUGGAAACUCAAUUUCAGAAACAAUUCAAAAGUGUGAUUGACAUGCAUCACAUCUUAUGUUUUUGUAUCUGUCUUUAGACUCCAGCUCUCAGGCCAUAUCUCAUUUAGCAUCUGCCUCAUCUUUGAGGUUGAGGUUCCAGAAAAUCACAUUGGGCCAAAAGCAAAAUAUGGGGUCAGGAAGAUGGCAUAGCACAGGGAUUUGGGAGAUGGGUAUGAAAGUCCCAAAGAUAUUCAAUAAUUUGUAGUUAUGUGAACAGAUUCUGGAAUGUUGGGUGUACUGGGCUGUAUGAGCAAGUGUUCUCUUUCAUGAAAUGACUGAACUGGGGACUUUGAGCCACCUCUAAUAAUAUGGGCUUAGAAUUAAUAUGGAGAUGGUGCCUCACAAAAUAUGUCAUUUUCAACAAUUGUAUCCUGAUUAACUCUAUCUAAAUUGGUCAAUUAUUAUUAU